This 543-nucleotide ribosomal RNA is filed under the name uncultured bacterium. Its description in RNAcentral is "bacterial SSU rRNA". It matches the Rfam family "Bacterial small subunit ribosomal RNA", at positions 362 to 897 of the family's 1533-position model. The record is from RNAcentral.
UUUUGGGCAAUGGGCGCAACGUGACCCAGCAACGCCGCGUGAAGGAUGAAAUCCCUCGGGAUGUAAACUUCGCAAGAACGGGAAGAAUAAGCCUGUGCUAACACCACAGGCGAUGACGGUACUGUUUGUAAGCUCCGGCUAACUCCGUGCCAGCAGCCGCGGUAAUACGGGGGGAGCAAGCGUUGUUCGGAUUUACUGGGCGUAAAGGGCGCGUAGGCGGCCCUUGACAAGUCACUUGUGAAAUCUCCGGGCUUAACUCGGAAAGGUCAAGUGAUACUGUCGGGCUAGAGUGCGGAAGGGGCAACUGGAAUUCUCGGUGUAGCGGUGAAAUGCGUAGAUAUCGAGAGGAACACCUGCGGCGAAGGCGGGUUGCUGGGCCGACACUGACGCUGAGGCGCGAAAGCCAGGGGAGCGAACGGGAUUAGAUACCCCGGUAGUCCUGGCCUUAAACGAUGGAUGCUUGGUGUCUGGGGUUAUAAAGUCCCCGGGUGCCGUCGCUAACGCUUUUAGCAUCCCGCCUGGGGAGUACGGUCGCAAGACUGA